GACGAACGCUGGCGGCGUGCCUAAUACAUGCAAGUUGAGCGAUGAAGAUUGGUGCUUGCACCAAUUUGAAGAGCAGCGAACGGGUGAGUAACGCGUGGGGAAUCUGCCUUUGAGCGGGGGACAACAUUUGGAAACGAAUGCUAAUACCGCAUAACAACUUUAAACAUAAGUUUUAAGUUUGAAAGAUGCAAUUGCAUCACUCAAAGAUGAUCCCGCGUUGUAUUAGCUAGUUGGUGAGGUAAAGGCUCACCAAGGCGAUGAUACAUAGCCGACCUGAGAGGGUGGUCGGCCCCAUGUGGACUGAGACCCGGCCCAAACUCCUUCGGGAGGCAGCAGGAGGGAAUCUUCGGCAAUGGACGAAAGUCUGACCGAGCAACGCCGCGUGAGUGAAGAAGGGUUUCGGAUCGUAAAACUCUGUUGGUAGAGAAGAACGUUGGUGAGAGUGGAAAGCUCAUCAAGUGACGGUAACUACCCAGAAAGGGACGGCUAACUACGUG
Molecule: ribosomal RNA, 497 nt
Filed under: uncultured bacterium
Lineage: Bacteria
Description: partial 16S ribosomal RNA
Rfam family: Bacterial small subunit ribosomal RNA
Source: RNAcentral